AGACCCGAAACCCGGUGAUCUAGCCAUGGGCAGGUUGAAGGUUGGGUAACACUAACUGGAGGACCGAACCGACUAAUGUUGAAAAAUUAGCGGAUGACCUGUGGCUGGGGGUGAAAGGCCAAUCAAACCGGGAGAUAGCUGGUUCUCCCCGAAAGCUAUUUAGGUAGCGCCUCGUGAAUUCAUCUCCGGGGGUAGAGCACUGUUUCGGCUAGGGGGCCAUCCCGGCUUACCAACCCGAUGCAAACUGCGAAUACCGGAGAAUGUUAUCACGGGAGACACACGGCGGGUGCUAACGUCCGUCGUGAAGAGGGAAACAACCCAGACCGCCAGCUAAGGUCCCAAAGUCAUGGUUAAGUGGGAAACGAUGUGGGAAGGCCCAGACAGCCAGGAUGUUGGCUUAGAAGCAGCCAUCAUUUAAAGAAAGCGUAAUAGCUCACUGGUCGAGUCGGCCUGCGCGGAAGAUGUAACGGGGCUAAACCAUGCACCGAAGCUGCGGCAGCGACGCUUAUGCGUUGUUGGGUAGGGGAGCGUUCUGUAAGCCUGUGAAGGUGGCCUGUGAGGGUUGCUGGAGGUAUCAGAAGUGCGAAUGCUGACAUAAGUAACGAUAAAGCGGGUGAAAAGCCCGCUCGCCGGAAGACCAAGGGUUCCUGUCCAACGUUAAUCGGGGCAGGGUGAGUCGACCCCUAAGGCGAGGCCGAAAGGCGUAGUCGAUGGGAAACGGGUUAAUAUUCCCGUACUUGGUGUUACUGCGAAGGGGGGACGGAGAAGGCUAUGUUGGCCGGGC
Molecule: ribosomal RNA, 784 nt
Filed under: Salmonella enterica
Lineage: Bacteria; Pseudomonadati; Pseudomonadota; Gammaproteobacteria; Enterobacterales; Enterobacteriaceae
Also listed under: 1 other name
Description: partial 23S ribosomal RNA
Rfam family: Bacterial large subunit ribosomal RNA
Source: RNAcentral